UACGUAGGUGGCGAGCGUUAUCCGGAUUUACUGGGCGUAAAGCGUGUGCAGGCGGGAUGGUAAGUGGGGUGUGAAAUCUCCCAGCUUAACUGGGAGGGGUUAUGCCAGACUGCCAUUCUAGAGUGCGAGAGAGGAAUGUGGAAUUCCGGGUGUAGCGGUGGAAUGCGUAGAGAUCCGGAAGAACACCGGUGGCGAAGGCGGCCUGCUGGGACAGUGCUGACGCUGAGGCGCGACAGCGUGGGGAGCAAACAGG
This 253-nucleotide ribosomal RNA is filed under the name uncultured bacterium. Its description in RNAcentral is "partial 16S ribosomal RNA". It matches the Rfam family "Bacterial small subunit ribosomal RNA", at positions 524 to 776 of the family's 1533-position model. The record is from RNAcentral.